CUUUCCCCUCUUAGAUUUUUGUCAAUCCUUUCAUAACACAAAAACAGGAUAAAUUUGUUUGAGGGUUUUUGUUGUUUUUUUUUUUUAAUUUUAUUUUGUCUAAACAGUGGAUAUAUACCAACAAAAGAAGAUUGCAUGGUAUUUACUUAACCUCAACAUCUUUAUCAUCUUUUUCUUCCUUCACCACUAUGAAAAAACUCAGUCAUUCCUUUUGCAGAGUAUGCAUCUGUUGGUAGGCACUUGGUGAAGAAGAUUACAUUUUAAGUCUUUACAUUUCAUGAGUGCAAUACUGCAUGCUUAAAAACCAUAUCUUUGAUAUUUAAUGGUGUCAUUUAACACCUGAAUGGGCCACAGCCAGGAAUAAAAUUUACUUCUGUUUGACUAACAGGUUUGAUUUUGCCAGGAGUGUGACCAGAUAAAUAGAAGGUGAUUAAAAUUAAUGAAGCUGUGAAAACCUUGAAAGCCUCAGCUAAACAGAGAAUUUUUAAGCCUGGUGAGUUCUCAAGUCUUAAGAGGGCUGAAUGAAAUUCUUACCAAUUUCUUCACACUAGUACAUGCAAAGACAAAACAGCUGAGUUCCAUUGCCAUGCACUUUUCCUGUAUUGAAGACAACAAUCUUUUUCCCCCUCAGGUUUCACACUAAAAUGAAACAAUCAACUCCCUAGAAUGAAAUGCUGUCAGCUUUCAAGCUGGAGUUUCAUCUUGGAUAUGAGACUGUUCUACGACCCAUGCAGCCCCACUGUGCAAAUGGGCUGAAAUCGUGUUGUCUCCUCUGGGGUUUUCUGUAGGAAAUUCAUACCACUUCCUCAUAGUUUAAAAGCUGGAGAUGAUGAAAUGGGAUUGUCUGACCUCCUGGAAGUCUCACUACUGGCUGUCCAUUAACAUACACCUUUUGCAGCAGGCUACUUUCUCAGACAUUCAUAUUAUCGGGGCAGAGAAGGUCGUUUCCUUCUGCACUCAGAUUCCAAAUGAGCUGAAAAAUCAUGGGAGUUCUGGAUCUUCAACAGAUGGAGGAGUUGCUUCAAACC
RNAcentral lists this long non-coding RNA (1028 nucleotides) under Parus major (Great Tit). RNAcentral's name for it is "lncRNA (ENSPMJG00000005500.1)". The record is from RNAcentral. Lineage: Eukaryota; Metazoa; Chordata; Aves; Passeriformes; Paridae.